This 479-nucleotide ribosomal RNA is filed under the name uncultured bacterium. RNAcentral's name for it is "partial 16S ribosomal RNA". It matches the Rfam family "Bacterial small subunit ribosomal RNA", at positions 28 to 507 of the family's 1533-position model. The record is from RNAcentral.
GACGAACGCUGGCGGCGUGCUUAACACAUGCAAGUCGAACGAAACUUGAUUACUGAUUUUUCGGAUGAAGUAGGAUAUCACGGAGGUGCGGAGGGGGUAGUCACGCGUGGGUAACCUGCUCUUCAGAGGGGGCUAGCGCUUGGAAACGAACGGUAAUACCGCAUAAUGUAUUUUGACCGCAUGAUCGAACUACUAAAGAUUUAUCGCUGAAGGAUGGACUGGCGUCUGGUUAGGUAGCUGGCGGGGUAACGGCCUACCAAGCGGACGAUCAGUAGCCGGACAGGGAGGUUGACCGGCCACAUAGGGAGUGAGACACGGCCCAGACUCGUGCGGCAGGAAGGAGUGGGGAAUAUUGAACAAUGGGAGCAAGCCUGAUGCAGCAACGCUGCGUGAAGAAAGCCGGUUUUCGGAUAGUAAACUUCUGUUCUUAGGGAAGAAUAGUGACGGUAACUAAGGAGCAAGCCACGGCUAACUACGUG